RNAcentral lists this ribosomal RNA (274 nucleotides) under uncultured bacterium. RNAcentral's name for it is "partial 16S ribosomal RNA". It matches the Rfam family "Archaeal small subunit ribosomal RNA", at positions 473 to 747 of the family's 1478-position model. The record is from RNAcentral.
AAACCAGCACCUCAAGUGGUCAGGAUGAUUAUUGGGCCUAAAGCAUCCGUAGCCUGCUUUGUCAGUUUUCGGUUAAAUCCAUACGCUCAACGUAUGGGCUGCCGGAAAUACUGCAUAGCUAGGGAGUGGGAGAGGUAGACGGUACUCGGGAGGAAGGGGUAAAAUCCUUUGAUCUCUCGAUGACCACCUGUGGCGAAGGCGGUCUACCAGAACACGUCCGACGGUGAGGGAUGAAAGCUGGGGGAGCAAACCGGAUUAGAAACCCGAGUAGUCC